This 253-nucleotide ribosomal RNA is filed under the name uncultured bacterium. Its description in RNAcentral is "partial 16S ribosomal RNA". It matches the Rfam family "Bacterial small subunit ribosomal RNA", at positions 524 to 776 of the family's 1533-position model. The record is from RNAcentral.
UACGGAGGGGGCUAGCGUUGUUCGGAAUUACUGGGCGUAAAGCGCACGUAGGCGGCUUUGCAAGUUAGAGGUGAAAGCCCGGGGCUCAACUCCGGAAUUGCCUUUAAAACUGCAUCGCUAGAAUUGUGGAGAGGUAAGUGGAAUUCCGAGUGUAGAGGUGAAAUUCGUAGAUAUUCGGAAGAACACCAGUGGCGAAGGCGACUUACUGGACACAUAUUGACGCUGAGGUGCGAAAGCGCGGGGAGCAAACAGG